ACCAGGAAGGGUGUGGGCAGUCUCUCCCUGGUGGUCAAGAGAGGAGGACUGGCUCCUCUGUGGGAAGGUAGCACCUUGGACAGGGCCGUGCUGGGGAGCUCUGGCUAAGGAAAACCCCAGGCUGCCGGCCUAGGCCAGGCAGGUGCAUAGGGCUGAAGGGGAAGUGGUCCAGGGACAAUAGCAGGGCAAGGGGAGAGAAUGAGGGCAGAGAGGCUGCCACUAUAGGGUCCCUGGGUUGGGACCCAGAGUAGUGGGUGGGCCUGGGUCCCCCCCCUUCCCCUUCAGCUACACCGGGCUGAAGAGGAGCAUGGCCUGAUCCAGGCUGUGGCUGGGCCCUGUGAUAAGGGGCUAGACUUAGAGGCUGCAGCUGGCCACUACAACAGGUGCAGAUUGUGGACUGCGAUAACACCAAACCCCCAGAAGGGGGUGAGACCGGAGCAGUGGGCACUGCUGGAGGGUAGUGUCCUGAAGAGGACACUGCUGAGUGGGGAGCAAUGAGGGUCCCCAAAGCAGCAGAGCAGAUGAGGGGCAAGGCACCACACAAAACAGAUGCUUUGACUGGACAGAGCUAAUUCCUGGAGCAACCAGCAGGAGGUGCCAGCGGUGAAACAAAACAAGAGUGGAUGAGGAAGAAAGAGGAAAAAUCCCCAUGCUCCCAAGAUGGAGGACACAAAGUCCAACAAAUGGAGGGGGCAGACUGAAGCCUACCAAGGGAAUUCUGACACUCAACUCCUUUGCUUCCUUGUGUCUUGGUAGGCAGAGCUAUACUCUGUUGCAGUAUAGUAAAUGAACCAACUAUUCCUGUCUGCCUCUCCCAUAGGAUGGGGCAGAGAGAGCCAUAUGGAAUAAAAGUCCAUUUUAUUAUAAGAGAAAAGAAAUAGGGUAUUUCCAAUUAUUAAAAUGUAGCAGAGAAAACACAUAUUAGCUUUCUUCCAAACCCUUUGUUAGACAUCCUAACAGUCAGCAUUCGGGGAAAGCACUUUUUCAGACUGUAAUUAAAAUCCUCAUCUAGACUGAGGUAAAUAAUAUACCUAGCUCAAUCUGAGCCCAGUUCUUAUAAAUAACCCUGUACUCGUAAUGUACAGACAGGCUUGUGCCCACUUUUGUUGAGACCCCUUCAUUCCCAAAAUGUGUUGUGAAUGAAUUAAUAUAAUUUUCCUUCAAUUGAAGGAUUCCAAUGAGUCCCAGGAUCUGUCAAUUUCCUCUCCUGCUUCUACAGCCUUCUUUUCUAAUGGAAGACUCUGGAUGUUUCUCCCACCACCAAAAUCCAUUAGUACUGUUUUCAUUCCCUUACUAAACAGUUAUUUAAAAAGUGACAAAAUAUACUUAGUCCCCACCAGCAGCAAACAUGCUGCCUAUAGGUUACCACUACAUCUUGGUCCCUGCUCAGAUAUCUCACUUUUUGAAGAUAAUAAACAGUUAUAUUUUCCCCCAAAUUCUGUACCACAAAGUGUCUGUAAAAUGUAUUUUAAGUUAUCCAAGCAAAAGAGUGCACUCAAAAGUCUUUCUUUUUUACUCAAACUUAAAAAAAAAAAAAGGCCAAAUGUUAAUUCAAAUGUUACAAAAAUAUUUGCUCCCAGACUCAGAUCCUUCAUGCCACAUUUCAGCACAAUGAAUUUAACCGUGCAAGCUAUACAUUUCUGAAAUGAGGUAAUAAAAACCCCAACAAGGCUUAGCUAUAGCGAUCUGAGUGAUGACACUUAUAUAUUUUUCAUAUUAUACACAUUG
Molecule: long non-coding RNA, 1728 nt
Organism: Chelonia mydas (Green sea turtle)
Lineage: Eukaryota; Metazoa; Chordata; Testudines; Cheloniidae
Exons: 2
Source: RefSeq, a predicted model, not a curated record